UACGUAGGGUGCGAGCGUUGUCCGGAAUUACUGGGCAUAAAGGGUGCGUAGGCGGUUUGUUAAGUCACUGGUGAAAGUUUUCGGCCCAACCGGAAAAUUGCCUGUGAUACUGGCGAACUUGAGUGCGUGAGGGGUGGGGGGAACGAGCAGUGUAGCGGUGAAAUGCGUAGAUAUUGCUCGGAAGGCCGGAGCCGAAGGGGUCCCACUGGUACGUAACUGACGCUGAGGCACGAAAGCGUGGGGAGCAAUCCGG
This 253-nucleotide ribosomal RNA is filed under the name uncultured bacterium. Its description in RNAcentral is "partial 16S ribosomal RNA". It matches the Rfam family "Bacterial small subunit ribosomal RNA", at positions 524 to 776 of the family's 1533-position model. The record is from RNAcentral.